RNAcentral lists this small RNA (345 nucleotides) under Propithecus coquereli (Coquerel's sifaka). RNAcentral describes it as "7SK RNA (ENSPCOG00000001085.1)". The stretch from base 1 to 200 matches the Rfam family "7SK RNA". From Rfam's summary of the family: 7SK was discovered as an abundant small nuclear RNA in the mid-70s but a possible function has only recently been suggested. Two independent studies have found that 7SK RNA binds the CDK9/cyclin T complex (known as elongation factor P-TEFb). Lineage: Eukaryota; Metazoa; Chordata; Mammalia; Primates; Indriidae. The record is from RNAcentral.
GGGUUUGAGGGUGGUCCUGCUGAGACACCAGGCACCCAUCGAUUGCCUGGGUUGAUUUUGCUGACCUAACCAGCGGGCUAGGUGGCUGGCUUCCCUCCUCCCCACUCCACACAUGUUCUUCCUGGUGCUGCACACCAAGUCAGAGAGAAGGGGAGCCUUCCUGGGUAGAGCAUCAUUCUUUAGCCAAAGGGGUGUGAUGACUUUGUCUGCUAUCUGGCAUUCUAAGCAAAUAUAGUGCUCUGGUUAAUCUUAUUGGAGUAACUAAAAUACUGAACAUGAAUAUUAUAAUUUUUCAAAUAAACCACAUCAUAGUAAAAUGAAAUGAGUACGAGGCAAUCUUUUUUU